RNAcentral lists this non-coding RNA (108 nucleotides) under Virgibacillus chiguensis. RNAcentral's name for it is "TPP sequence". It matches the Rfam family "TPP riboswitch aptamer (THI element)". Rfam says of the family: Vitamin B(1) in its active form thiamin pyrophosphate (TPP) is an essential coenzyme that is synthesised by coupling of pyrimidine and thiazole moieties in bacteria. The previously detected thiamin-regulatory element, thi box was extended, resulting in a new, highly conserved RNA secondary structure, the THI element, which is widely distributed in eubacteria and also occurs in some archaea. The record is from RNAcentral. Lineage: Bacteria; Bacillati; Bacillota; Bacilli; Caryophanales; Bacillaceae.
UGUUAACACUAGGGGAGCUAGUUGAUGAGCUGAGAGGAACGGUGCACGUUCUGACCCUUUGUACCCGAACAGGAUAAUGCCUGCGUGGGAAAGUGUGGUCAUACCUGA